AUUGAACGCUGGCGGCAUGCCUUACACAUGCAAGUCGAACGGCAGCACGGGGGCAACCCUGGUGGCGAGUGGCGAACGGGUGAGUAAUGCAUCGGAACGUGCCCAGUAGUGGGGGAUAACUAGUCGAAAGAUUAGCUAAUACCGCAUACGACCUAUGGGUGAAAGCGGGGGAUUCGCAAGAACCUCGCGCUAUCGGAGCGGCCGAUGUCUGAUUAGCUAGNGGCGGGGUAAAGCCCACCAAGGCUUCGAUCAGUAGCUGGUCUGAGAGGACGACCAGCCACACUGGGACUGAGACACGGCCCAGACUCCUACGGGAGGCAGCAGUGGGGAAUUUUGGACAAUGGGCGCAAGCCUGAUCCAGCCAUGCCGCGUGCGGGAAGAAGGCCU
This 387-nucleotide ribosomal RNA is filed under the name uncultured bacterium. RNAcentral describes it as "bacterial SSU rRNA". It matches the Rfam family "Bacterial small subunit ribosomal RNA", at positions 29 to 417 of the family's 1533-position model. The record is from RNAcentral.